This 369-nucleotide long non-coding RNA is filed under the name Marmota monax (woodchuck). The record is from RNAcentral. Lineage: Eukaryota; Metazoa; Chordata; Mammalia; Rodentia; Sciuridae.
GGACAGAAGUGGAAAGAUGUCCAAGUGAGAGCAGGAGAUAGCAAUGUGCUAGGCAGAUGGGGUCAGGGCCCCCCUCAGGAGUUUACAAAAUGGAGUGGACAGCUCGUGAACAGUGACUCCAUCCCAGCCUGGAGGUGUGCACAGGAACCCUGAGCCAGUCCCUGAGGCAAAGAUGCAUGAUCUGCACGCUGCUAGGACCCCGGAACCCUAGUAGGACUGGACUCAAUUACCCAAUUUUGAAAAAUCUCUAGCUUAUGGUUUUCAAGGCCACCCAACUCCCUUUUAACCCAACAACAGACACCCCUUGGCAAUCCUCCUUGGGACGGCUAUCCCCGCAUGAGCUCUGCUUUCUAUUACUUUAAUAAAUCC